GAAAAAGUUUGAGAACAAUAGAGGAGAAGUUUAUCGACUCAUGUGCGGCCUCCAACACCACUGCUACGGUUUAUCGUGACACGAAUGAAGCAGAAGAGGCGUGGGCUGAAGUCACCCAGGAGGAGAAAGAAUCUCCAGGAGAAGUGCUCCUCCGACUAAAGGCACGUUACCACCAUCUAGUGUUCAAAGGUUGAACUGUCUUGUCGUGUAUCCAUUCAUUUCCAGUAGACCUGGGACUGUGAGGGUGUUGUGACGUGACGUGGUUAUUUAAUGUAUGUAUAUUUGAAAACUGACGUCACACUGUUUUAAAGAGCAGUUUUUGAUUUAUUCUGAAGAAAAUUCACGAAAACAUAGAAAUCCAAGGAGUGUUCAGAUGUUUGUUUACACAGAGUGUAGCUGAACAUGUGAAAAAUUAUUUUUUAAAUCAAAUAUGGAUCAAACAAAUAAUCAACAGAAA
This is a long non-coding RNA of Cynoglossus semilaevis (tongue sole), 457 nucleotides long. RefSeq lists it as uncharacterized. The record is from RefSeq and is a predicted model, not a curated record. Lineage: Eukaryota; Metazoa; Chordata; Actinopteri; Pleuronectiformes; Cynoglossidae. The transcript has 2 exons.